This 304-nucleotide ribosomal RNA is filed under the name uncultured bacterium. RNAcentral's name for it is "partial 16S ribosomal RNA". It matches the Rfam family "Bacterial small subunit ribosomal RNA", at positions 506 to 807 of the family's 1533-position model. The record is from RNAcentral.
CAGCAGCCGCCGCGGUAAUACAGAGGGUGCGAGCGUUAAUCGGAUUUACUGGGCGUAAAGCGUGCGUAGGCGGCUUCUUAAGUCGGAUGUGAAAUCCCUGAGCUUAACUUAGGAAUUGCAUUCGAUACUGGGAAGCUAGAGUAUGGGAGAGGAUGGUAGAAUUCCAGGUGUAGCGGUGAAAUGCGUAGAGAUCUGGAGGAAUACCGAUGGCGAAGGCAGCCAUCUGGCCUAAUACUGACGCUGAGGUACGAAAGCAUGGGGAGCAAACAGGAUUAGAUACCCCUGUAGUCCCUGUCUCUUAUAC